GUCUACGGCCAUGCUACCCUGAACAAGCCCGAUCCCGUCUGAUCUCGGAAGCUAAGCAGGGUCAGGCCUGGUUAGUACUUGGAUGGGAGAUCACCUAGGAAGACCAGGUGCUGUAGGCA
RNAcentral lists this ribosomal RNA (119 nucleotides) under Pteropus alecto (black flying fox). Lineage: Eukaryota; Metazoa; Chordata; Mammalia; Chiroptera; Pteropodidae. The record is from RNAcentral.